Molecule: transfer RNA, 73 nt
Filed under: bacterium
Lineage: Bacteria
Description: tRNA-Ile
Rfam family: tRNA
About the family: Transfer RNA (tRNA) molecules are approximately 80 nucleotides in length. Their secondary structure includes four short double-helical elements and three loops (D, anti-codon, and T loops). Further hydrogen bonds mediate the characteristic L-shaped molecular structure. tRNAs have two regions of fundamental functional importance: the anti-codon, which is responsible for specific mRNA codon recognition, and the 3' end, to which the tRNAs corresponding amino acid is attached (by aminoacyl-tRNA synthetases). tRNAs cope with the degeneracy of the genetic code in two manners: having more than one tRNA (with a specific anti-codon) for a particular amino acid; and 'wobble' base-pairing, i.e. permitting non-standard base-pairing at the 3rd anti-codon position.
Source: RNAcentral
GGGCUUAUAGCUCAGUUGGCAGAGCAUUCGGCUGAUAACCGAAAGGUCGGUGGUUCGACUCCACCUAAGCCCA